RNAcentral lists this ribosomal RNA (245 nucleotides) under uncultured bacterium. RNAcentral's name for it is "partial 16S ribosomal RNA". It matches the Rfam family "Bacterial small subunit ribosomal RNA", at positions 524 to 768 of the family's 1533-position model. The record is from RNAcentral.
UACAGAGGUCCCGAGCGUUGUUCGGAUUCAUUGGGCGUAGAGGGUGCGUAGGCGGUUUUUUAAGUUUGAUGUGAAAUCCCGGGGCUUAACCCUGGAAUUGCAUUGAAUACUGAAGAACUAGAGUACUGGAGAGGAAACUGGAAUUUACGGUGUAGCAGUGAAAUGCGUAGAGAUCGUAAGGAAGACCAGUGGCGAAGGCGAGUUUCUGGACAGUUACUGACGCUGAGGCACGAAGGCCAGGGGAG